This 497-nucleotide ribosomal RNA is filed under the name uncultured bacterium. RNAcentral describes it as "partial 16S ribosomal RNA". It matches the Rfam family "Bacterial small subunit ribosomal RNA", at positions 28 to 507 of the family's 1533-position model. The record is from RNAcentral.
GAUGAACGCUGGCGGCGUGCCUAAUACAUGCAAGUCGAACGAACAGAUAAGGAGCUUGCUCCUCUGACGUUAGCGGCGGACGGGUGAGUAACACGUGGAUAACCUACCUAUAAGACUGGGAUAACUUCGGGAAACCGGAGCUAAUACCGGAUAAUAUAUUGAACCGCAUGUUUCAAUAGUGAAAGACGGUUUUGCUGUCACUUAUAGAUGGAUCCGCGCCGCAUUAGCUAGUUGGUAAGGUAACGGCUUACCAAGGCAACGAUGCGUAGCCGACCUGAGAGGGUGAUCGGCCACAAUGGAACUGAGACACGGUCCAGACUCCUACGGGAGGCAGCAGUAGGGAAUCUUCCGCAAUGGGCGAAAGCCUGACGGAGCAACGCCGCGUGAGUGAUGAAGGUCUUCGGAUCGUAAAACUCUAUUAUUAGGGAAGAACAAAUGUGUAAGUAACUAUGCACGUCUUGACGGUAACUAAUCAGAAAGCCACGGCUAACUACGUG